UGGAGUAUGUGGUUUAAUUCGAUGCAACGCGAAGAACCUUACCUGGUCUUGACAUCCCGGAGACCCUUAGGAACAGGGGUGCUUCCAUCUGGAGAAUCUGGAGACAGGUGCUGCAUGGCUGUCGUCAGCUCGUGUCGUGAGAUGUUGGGUUAAGUCCCGCAACGAGCGCAACCCUUGCCUUUAGUUGCCAGCAGUUCGGCUGGGCACUCUAAAGGGACUGCCGGUGUUAAACCGGAGGAAGGUGGGGAUGACGUCAAGUCCUCAUGGCCUUUAUGACCAGGGCUACACACGUACUACAAUGGCCGAUACAAAGGGCAGCGACACUGCGAGGUGAAGCCAAUCCCGUAAAAUCGGUCUCAGUCCGGAUUGGAGUCUGCAACUCGACUCCAUGAAGUUGGAAUCGCUAGUAAUCGUGGAUCAGCAUGCCACGGUGAAUACGUUCCCGGGCCUU
This 451-nucleotide ribosomal RNA is filed under the name uncultured Desulfobulbus sp. RNAcentral's name for it is "bacterial SSU rRNA". It matches the Rfam family "Bacterial small subunit ribosomal RNA", at positions 933 to 1382 of the family's 1533-position model. The record is from RNAcentral. Lineage: Bacteria; Pseudomonadati; Thermodesulfobacteriota; Desulfobulbia; Desulfobulbales; Desulfobulbaceae.